GAUCUCACAAAUCUAAAGGAACUGGUUAUAGGAAAAUGAUUUGUAGCUCGAAUGUGUUGGGCUCGACUAGCUUGAAAGUACUAAUUUUCUCUCUUCUCUCUAUCUCUUUCUUUUGCUUUGCUCUCCUCUUUGCCUCUGUUCACUAUAUUCUUGAAACCAAAAAAGGGACUCAUCUCUCUCUCUCUCUCUCUCUCUCUCUCUUUCAUCUGUCUCAUCUCUAGUCGUAGAAGGAGGAAUCACUCUUACCUCUCUCUCUACCCAUCCCUCUCAUUCGACAGACCUCUCUUAUCACCUUCCGAUUACUCUCUAGUCGUGGAAGAACGAACGACAACUGAGGACAAACAACGACGAACGACGGCCUGUGACAGUGAACGACGGACCAAAAGGAAUCUGAGAGUCAUAAAGAACAUUCUUCAAAUUCGCGAAUGAGGAUGAUGACGACAGUAUCUCCACAAUCCGUUCACAUGUUGGACCUCAGAAAGCUAUAAGAACAGAAGAACUAAACGAUAUAAAGACAAGGCUUUGUGAGAUAGACAAUGAGUAUGGUGCAAGGCUACAAAGGAUGGAGAAAAACUUCAAAAUUAGGAUUUAUGUCAUUGUUUUUUGAGUCUUUUUGCACUUUACCAUGUAAAUUUCAUGAAUCGAAUGUAACCAGAAACUUCAUUCAUAUUUUGUAUCUUUUUGUACUUAAUGAUGUAAAUUACUGAAUUGUUAGAUGCUUUAGGGAAUUUCAUGAAUGCGUUGUGUUGUGCUGUGUUGUGUAUUCGGAUGAGUUUGUAUGGUUUGUGAUAUUCCAACUCCAACCAGGAUGCAGUCUUAGUCCACAAUGGAUGCUGUGUUAGUCCACAAUGCAAGUUGAGAAUACUCUUUUUAUGUCAUAUAUGUUAAUCA
Molecule: long non-coding RNA, 891 nt
Organism: Camellia sinensis
Lineage: Eukaryota; Viridiplantae; Streptophyta; Magnoliopsida; Ericales; Theaceae
Source: RefSeq, a predicted model, not a curated record